Molecule: long non-coding RNA, 1640 nt
Filed under: Phoenix dactylifera (date palm)
Lineage: Eukaryota; Viridiplantae; Streptophyta; Magnoliopsida; Arecales; Arecaceae
Description: long non-coding RNA (PDAC_LNC014195)
Source: RNAcentral
GAAACAAAACCAAGUGAAGAUUUAUGAAUUUUUUUUGGAAUGCUUUCUUAAAUAGCUUAUAUGCACUUUUUUUUCUCUUUUUCCCUUUUUUUGAGAAUUAGGGCAAGAAACCAGAUUAAAGUUUGGGUGAGGGUGGGACGUGAACCCAAGUCAUUGAUAUCAACCUCCAAUGACUUUACCAACUCUAUUGGAGGGUAUGCUCUUGAAAGGUGUGAAUUCCAAGAGAGUUUAGGCCCAUAUCCAAUUCCAUUAUUUUCCAGAACUGAAUGGAGUAGGUAGAUUGUAGUCCAAAUCAAUUUAGAUCUAAUUUUCUUGGUCAGAUAUUACGUUCUUUUUUCUGUAUACUGUGCUUUGUUUGAGAUUCCUAAUCAAGGAAGGUGCCAGGAUCCACCACUAAUAAAUUAAAAAAUUAUUAGAUCAAACUCUUGAUAUAGCUAACAGCUGAUCUAGCCAAUUAUAGGCAGCAGGUGGUCUUAGAAGACCCUAAGGAUGGCUAGUUGAGUCAAUAGAGAGGUGUUGUUUAUAUAAAGAGACAAUAGAACUGGAUGAUCACAUCAGGGUUCCCCAGAGAGAUCCUGGUACAAUUAGUUUCAAAAUAAUUUAAGUUGAAGCAGACAGGCAGUAAAAGCAGUCUCUUAAAAAUGUGAUAAGAAACAGAAAAAAAAAGAAAACUGAAUGGUGUAAGCAUCUUUGAUAGCAAUAAUUUAAUUUUAUAACUCAUUUAGCCAAAAUGUUCAUAGGAGACAAUUUCAGAAAGCUCUACUUACAUUAUUACUGAAAUUUAACAGGCUUGCAGAGAAAAAGGUUAAGAAAAGAAAAAAAGUGAAAAAGAAAUAAGGAGAAGGGCGCAUUAUCAAUUAACCAGCAAACAAUUUGCCAGGAAAUUGGCUAUGAUGCAUAAGCCAUAAAGGAAGAUGUCAAUCAGCAUAGAUCAUCUUAAAUUCUGAAAAUUGAUCGGCCAAUGAUAACUCUUCACUAACCAGAUCCAUUAACCUAUAAGACCCAAAUAGAUGGUUAAAACAUUUAAAAACAGUAAUCGCACCAUAGUAUCAAAUACCAGACCAUAUAGUAUACAUAGCUUAAUAUAAUUAAACAUAUAUUACUGAAACAGUUGCCAAAUGUGAUAUCUAGUACAAUAACAGUCUCGAUGAAGGUAAAAAAACAUAACAUAAAUUAGGGGUACAAUCGAACCGAGCUGAGUCAAGUAGCUAGAGGCUCGAGCUCAACUCAAUUCAAAAUACUCAAGCUCGAAACUCAACUCAAGAUCAAUUGAGCCUUAAUAUCCAAGCUCGAACUCAACUUGAUCAAAAAAAAAGGAACACUCAAGAUCGACUCGACUCGAAUAUCAGCCGAGCCAUGCUCAAGCUUGAGUUCGAGCUUGAAUUCGAGCCUUGGUGAUAAUUAAAAAAUAUUGUUAAAAUUUAGGAGUUAGGUCAGAUUAAAAAAAUAAAAUAUUAUAUUUUCAAAUAUUAAUUACUAAUAAUGAGUCGAGUUAUUUUGUGACUCAAGCCUGACUCGAAAAACUAGUUGAGCUACUCGAGCUCGGUAAUAGUCGAGUCGAGCCAAGCUUGGACCCAAGUCGAGCUGCUCGGCUCAUUUAUACCCCACCAUAGGUUAGGAAGACCAUUGGCUGCCAAGAA